RNAcentral lists this ribosomal RNA (770 nucleotides) under uncultured archaeon. Its description in RNAcentral is "bacterial SSU rRNA". It matches the Rfam family "Archaeal small subunit ribosomal RNA", at positions 89 to 861 of the family's 1478-position model. The record is from RNAcentral.
CUCAGUAACACGUGGAUAACCUGCCCUUAGGAUUGGCAUAACACCGGGAAACUGGUGAUAAUACCGAAUAGACCAUUUAUGCUGGAAUGCUUUUUGGCUCAAAGGCUUCGGCUGCCUAAGGAUGGAUCUGCGGCCUAUCAGGUAGUAGUGGGUGUAAUGUAUCUACUAGCCUACGACGGGUACGGGUUGUGAGAGCAAGAGCCCGGAGAUGGAUUCUGAGACAUAAAUCCAGACCCUACGGGGUGCAGCAGGCGCGAAAUCUUUACAAUGCGGGAAACCGCGAUAAGGGGACACUGAGUGCCAGCAUAUUAUGUUGGCUGUCCACAUGUCUAAAAACCAUGUGUUAGCAAGGGCCGGGCAAGACCGGUGCCAGCCGCCGCGGUAACACCGGCGGCCCGAGUGGUGAUCACUUUUAUUGGGUCUAAAGGGUCCGUAGCCGGUUUAAUCAGUCUUCUGGGAAAUCUGACAGCUCAACUGUUAGGCUUUCAGGGGAUACUGUUAAGCUUGGGACCGGGAGAGGUAAGAGGUACUACAGGGGUAGGAGUGAAAUCUUGUAAUCCCUGUGGGACCGCCGGUGGCGAAGGCGUCUUACCAGAACGGGUCCGACGGUGAGGGACGAAAGCUGGGGGCACGAACCGGAUUAGAUACCCGGGUAGUCCCAGCCGUAAACGAUGUUCGCUAAGUGUCAGGGACGGUGCGACCGUUUCUGGUGCCGUAGGGAAGCCGUGAUCGGACCACCUGGGAAGUACGCCGCAAGGCUGAAACUAAAG